Molecule: long non-coding RNA, 1406 nt
Filed under: Lactuca sativa (garden lettuce)
Lineage: Eukaryota; Viridiplantae; Streptophyta; Magnoliopsida; Asterales; Asteraceae
Description: long non-coding RNA (LSAT_LNC007595)
Source: RNAcentral
UUUGACGCUCAGAUUAUUAAUCUUAUAGAAAAUAUGUCAUCAUCAGAUAUCUAAUCAACUCCUACAAAUUUAGUAUAAACUUAUUUUGACAUUUGAGAUCAAAUCAAUACAGUUUACAUGAUUGUUACUGAAAAUUUAUGGUUCUUUACCUAAAUCUUAUCCAUGCAAUAAACAAUUGUACAUCAAUAUGAUAAUGUGAAUUGGUUCUCUCUGUCAACUCUGCAAGAAAAUGUAACAAAGGACAAACGUAAUAAAGACAACUUUGUCUUUACUACUCCAUGGUACGUGUAGAAACAGAUACGAAUUUAAUUCAAUUGUUUGUUGAUGAAUGUGUCAAGAAAUUUAUGCUUUUUGUAGUGUCCUUGAAGUUGAAAGGCACAUGCAGAAACAUAGUAUUACAAGACUUUAUGCUUUCUGUUCUUUUGGAUUAUGCCUUGUGAAUUGAACCCUAACAUGUAUAUCUACUUUUUUUUUUUUUUAAACUUUAUAUUAAUGAAGUUUUCAAAAACAGUAUUCGAGGAUUUGACUAUUCAAGACUUUGCUGGUCUUCGAGGAUUUGACUAUUCAAUACUUGCUGCAAAUCAGGUAUGUGUAUUUCGAGAGAUUAUAUAAAAAUCAUGCAUAUACUUCUCACAUAUUCUAACAAAAAGUAAACAAUCUUCACUACACAAGUUGUAAACCAUAUGCUCUUUGAAGAAGCAUCCCAUCACAUGAUCAUUAGUACUGUUGCUAAAUCCUAAAAGGGUAACAUCAAAGAAGAUAUAUGUUGUCAAAUGAUUUGUUUAUUGAAGUAUAUCAUUUACAUGAGUUGAUGCAAAGUGAAAAGAAGAUUAUUAUAUAACUACAACCAUGAAGAAAUCCUUAGACAAAAUGUAUAGAAAGAUACACAAGUUAAAGAAUAAACUAAACUAGUUUACUAAGCUAUAUUGUAGAUAAAACGUAUAACCGAAUGACAGCAAAACAAACAGAAUUUGCACCGCUCCAUAUCAGAGUUGCUUGUAGUGAGCAUCUUAAACCGCACCAAAAAGUCGACGGGCUUGCAAGGUCAAGAAAACUCGAACAACCUUUAUGAAGUUAGAAACCAGAAAAAGAAAACGUAAGAAGAAUAAGCUCAGGAGGGGUAGCACCAGGAUUGUUAUCAAAAUGUGGUUUUUUGUUGAUUGGCCAUGAGUAAGAGAAAUAAGGUUGGAUGAUUAGCCAUGGCUAGGACCCAAAGAGUGUAUGGGUUUGAGGAAAGGGUUUUUAGGGUUGAAUCCAUGUAGUGUGUGUGAAUGGAAGAUGAGUGUAAGGAGUUUAUAUAUAGGUGGGGUGGGUGGUUAAAAGGGGUUGGGUAUAAUUGGGUGUAUGGUAAUAAAAGAGGUUAUUGAUGUGUCAUUUUCUACAUAUAAAGACAAGGGACAGGAAGC